AUUGAACGCUGGCGGCAUGCUUUACACAUGCAAGUCGAACGGCAGCGCGGGCUUCGGCCUGGCGGCGAGUGGCGAACGGGUGAGUAAUACAUCGGAACGUGCCCAGUAGUGGGGGAUAGCUCGGCGAAAGCCGGAUUAAUACCGCAUACGACCUGAGGGUGAAAGCGGGGGAUCUUCGGACCUCGCGCUAUUGGAGCGGCCGAUGGCAGAUUAGCUAGUUGGUGGGGUAAUGGCCUACCAAGGCGACGAUCUGUAGCUGGUCUGAGAGGACGACCAGCCACACUGGGACUGAGACACGGCCCAGACUCCUACGGGAGGCAGCAGUGGGGAAUUUUGGACAAUGGGCGAAAGCCUGAUCCAGCAAUGCCGCGUGUGUGAUGAAGGCCUUCGGGUUGUAAAGCACUUUUGGCGGGAACGAAAAGGACUGUGCCAAUACCACGGUUCGAUGACGGUACCCGCAGAAUAAGCACCGGCUAACUACGUG
RNAcentral lists this ribosomal RNA (484 nucleotides) under uncultured bacterium. RNAcentral describes it as "partial 16S ribosomal RNA". It matches the Rfam family "Bacterial small subunit ribosomal RNA", at positions 29 to 507 of the family's 1533-position model. The record is from RNAcentral.